Homo sapiens (human) is the source of this 1894-nucleotide long non-coding RNA. Ensembl annotates it as ITGB2 antisense RNA 1. Its record names the gene ITGB2-AS1. The record is from Ensembl. Lineage: Eukaryota; Metazoa; Chordata; Mammalia; Primates; Hominidae.
AGGAAAUGGAGUUGGGUGCCCCAGGUGGGGUGCUCCAACGAGCUCUUUCUCAUGGGAUCCCCCACAGAUCCAUACAAACAGGCUGACCAUCAGGGCUGGUCCCAGGCCACCAGGCUGGGUGCAAUGCAGAAAUGGAGAUCUGCCCCGGGGAAGGCAGGUGAGUGUAGGAAGGAGGGAGGGCUGCGAGAAGCUGGGGGCAGCCUCCAUCCCCCUGUGGCCUGGGUGGGCCUGUGCCCCCCCAACCCCCCGACGCAGCUUCCCACACUGGGAGCACAGUUCCUCCCUCCUCUGCCUUCCUCUGCGUGGUGUGGCUCCUCCUUGAGGGAGAGAGCUGAGGAGGUGGCAUUCUUGCUUCCCUGACUCACCCAAAGGAAGAUUUCACAGCCCCUGGCAAGGGCUGCCAGACAGGCUCACCUGUCACCCCCUGUCCAGGGACAGACUGACCGGUAGCCUUGGCUGGGUGGGGAGUUAUGCUGGGAAGUCUUCCAGGCCCCCUGGGGGUGGGAAGAUGCUCAAUGUUCAAAGGAGAUGGAACGAGGAAAACAGUUAAGCAACGAUGGACUCCAGGGGGAAAACCGGAGAAGAAGAAACUGUAAUUCCAGUCCGUCCACAUGGCCCAGCAGUGAACGACAAUUGCAUGGUCAGAGAGAGCAAAAGCACCACGCCGACUGAAAGCAGCUCGAAUGUGGUGGGGCAGUGGGAGAUAAUGCCCUCAUCUACCAAAACAAGAUCUGCCACCUUCGCAGACCACUAAACCUCAUUCCUCCACCCACCUCCCCACCCCCAUGAAGGCCAACUGACCAGAGAGCAGGGCUCCCGAGGGUCGGGUCGGGUCGGGUCGGGUUGGGUCGGGUGGGUGCCUCUUACCCUAACUGAGGCUCUGCCCUGGACUCGGAGUCCACUUGCUGUCAAAGCAUGCCACUCUUCUUUCUGAUACUUGACAUAUUUCUUUUCCCGUUCAAUUCAUGGUUUCUGCCCAAACGGAGCCACGUGAGGACUUCUUUGGGGAUGUGUCUCCAAGAAAAGUGUGGGCUGCCUUCCUCACCCUGGAUGCCUGUGGGCAGCCUUCCUCACCCUGGAUGCCUGUGGGCAGCCUUCCUCACCCUGGAUGCCUGUGGGCUGCCUUCCUCACCCUGGAUGCCUGUGGGCAGCCUUCCUCACCCUGGAUGCCUGUGGGCUGCCUUCCUCACCCUGGAUGCCUGUGGGCAGCCUUCCUCACCCUGGAUGCCUGUGGGCAGCCUUCCUCACCCUGGAUGCCUGUGACUUGGUUUCCAUGGGGGCUUCCUAAGCUCAGGGACCCCAAGCCUCCAUCAAAUCUAAUGACCCGCCUUGUCUCUGAACACACCUGUGUUGUCCCCGAGCCCCUCACCAACCCCCUCUGCAACCCGGCCCACGCAUUUCCCAUCCUGAAGGGUCCAGCUCAUAGGCCGGCCCAUGUGUUCCCUUUACCCCUGCUUUGUCCCUACCUGGUGGGGAGCUGUCCCUUCUGGGCCCUAGUGUGGCACUUCACACACAAAUGUGUCCUGUGGGUGGUAUCUGGGCCUCCCCCUGCAGUGAGGGGAUGACCAAUGUGCAGAGCUCACUGGGCCUGGAUAUGGGCUCGGGUGGCACAGAACAGAGAGAAAGUGCUCCGUAAAAGUGAGCUGCGAUGCGGAGGUGGGCAAGCUCUUCCCUGGAGGGGGAAGAGCUCUCAACCCAGAGGGAUCUGACCAGGAAGGUUCACCCCCCCUCCACCCAGGAAGCCCCUGCAGACAGUAUGUGUUUUAGGCUUUGCUGGCCAAAUGGUCUCUGCCGCGACUACUCAGCUCUGCCAUUGUGGCUGCAGAGUGACCAUAGACCUUCUGAAAGUGAAUGAGUAUGACUGUGUUCCAAUAAAACUUUAUUGACAAAAACA